ACACGGUCCAAACUCCUACGGGAGGCAGCAGUGAGGAAUAUUGGUCAAUGGACGAGAGUCUGAACCAGCCAAGUAGCGUGAAGGAUGACUGCCCUAUGGGUUGUAAACUUCUUUUAUACGGGAAUAAAGUGAGCCACGUGUGGCUUUUUGUAUGUACCGUAUGAAUAAGGAUCGGCUAACUCCGUGCCAGCAGCCGCGGUAAUACGGAGGAUCCGAGCGUUAUCCGGAUUUAUUGGGUUUAAAGGGAGCGUAGGCGGGUUGUUAAGUCAGUUGUGAAAGUUUGCGGCUCAACCGUAAAAUUGCAGUUGAUACUGGCGACCUUGAGUGCAACAGAGGUAGGCGGAAUUCGUGGUGUAGCGGUGAAAUGCUUAGAUAUCACGAAGAACUCCGAUUGCGAAGGCAGCUUACUGGAUUGUAACUGACGCUGAUGCUCGAAAGUGUGGGUAUCAAACAGGAUUAGAUACCCUGGUAGUCCACACAGUAAACGAUGAAUACUCGCUGUUGGCGAUAUACAGUCAAGCGGCCAAGCGAAAGCAUUAAGUAUUCCACCUGGGGAGUAC
Molecule: ribosomal RNA, 560 nt
Filed under: uncultured bacterium
Lineage: Bacteria
Description: bacterial SSU rRNA
Rfam family: Bacterial small subunit ribosomal RNA
Source: RNAcentral